RNAcentral lists this ribosomal RNA (216 nucleotides) under Glomeromycotina sp. Its description in RNAcentral is "partial small subunit ribosomal RNA". The stretch from base 40 to 216 matches the Rfam family "Eukaryotic small subunit ribosomal RNA", at positions 686 to 864 of the family's 1831-position model. Lineage: Eukaryota; Fungi; Glomeromycota. The record is from RNAcentral.
GGGUCAGUAGGUUGGUCGUGCCACCGGUACGUACUGGUCUCACUGAUUCCUCCUUCCUGAAGAACCGUAAUGCCAUUCAUUUGGUGUUGCGGGGAAACAGGACUGUUACUUUGAAAAAAUUAGAGUGUUUAAAGCAAGCUAACGCUUGAAUACAUUAGCAUGGAAUAAUGAAAUAGGACGAUCGAUCCUAUUUUGUUGGUUUCUAGGAUUGACGUA